RNAcentral lists this ribosomal RNA (375 nucleotides) under uncultured bacterium. Its description in RNAcentral is "bacterial SSU rRNA". It matches the Rfam family "Bacterial small subunit ribosomal RNA", at positions 969 to 1344 of the family's 1533-position model. The record is from RNAcentral.
CCUUACCCACCUUUGACAUGGCAGGAAGUUUCCAGAGAUGGAUUCGUGCUCGAAAGAGAACCUGCACACAGGUGCUGCAUGGCUGUCGUCAGCUCGUGUCGUGAGAUGUUGGGUUAAGUCCCGCAACGAGCGCAACCCUUGUCAUUAGUUGCUACAUUUAGUUGGGCACUCUAAUGAGACUGCCGGUGACAAACCGGAGGAAGGUGGGGAUGACGUCAAGUCCUCAUGGCCCUUAUAGGUGGGGCUACACACGUCAUACAAUGGCUGGUACAGAGGGUUGCCAACCCGCGAGGGGGAGCUAAUCCCAUAAAACCAGUCGUAGUCCGGAUCGCAGUCUGCAACUCGACUGCGUGAAGUCGGAAUCGCUAGUAAUCG